UCAAAAGGGAGUCCUUGGCCUAGGGGCCAUAUCCGGCCAGUGAGGGUUUUUUGCUGGCCCCCAGGUAGGAAUAUUCUGCAGCAACAGCAGGAGCCCUUAAUUGCUCUUGCAGUUGGCUGCUUGAGACCAGAUGGAGCCUAUAAACACCAUACAUCUUUCCCCUCACCUUUUCCCCAGACUCCAACCCUCUGCCCCCUCAAUUUUAUUAAUAUUUUGAACUAUUUAUAUAUUUAUUUAUCCUAGGCAUACCCAUCGCUGAUCCCAUGCAUGGCAGCUCUCGUGAGAAACUGCCGGACUAGUGACGGGACGUGGAGAAAUUGGCCACUGGGAUGAGGAGGUGGCGGCGGUGAUGGGCCCGGCUGCCGGGUUGAGGAGGUGAUGGUGGUGGGCCCGGCCCGGCUGCCAGGAUGAGGAGGAGGUGGCGGUGGGCCCAGCAGCCAGGGACUAGCAUUGACCGUUUGUGCUGGGACAGAUUCUUACUAGCUUGCUCCUGAAAGGCUGUAUUAACUUUCAAAAGAUAUUGGAGGAAAGUAGAGACGUUUUCUGUCAAUGCCAGCCAGUUACCCCACAAGGGGUCAUCAGUUAUCACAUCACUCCACCUUCAAUGAAUUCUUCCGAAGAUAAAGAAAGAGAAUGGUCUGGCCUAAGGGUUCAUUGACUAACCAUAAGGACACCACCUGCUUGCGACAAUCUCCCUCAAACAGAAUCUGGACUUUGAUGCUGAAUUGACACUUGCAAUAAUAUAUUGUUAACUGGACUGGAGUAUGAAGGGAAUUGAAUGGUAGAGAAUCUGAAUUGGGAAAGAGUGAACAGAUCUGUCUCUACUAAACUAAGCAGAAAAAAAGCUUUUUACACUCCAGGAUUGCCUAGAUGUAUAGAUUAAUGUAUUGAUCCUUCUUCACUAUAUAACUUUCAUGCCUGUGGCAUUGAU
Hemicordylus capensis (graceful crag lizard) is the source of this 931-nucleotide long non-coding RNA. RefSeq lists it as uncharacterized. NCBI's taxonomy places the organism in Eukaryota, Metazoa, Chordata, Lepidosauria, Squamata, Cordylidae. The record is from RefSeq and is a predicted model, not a curated record. The transcript is spliced from 3 exons.